GGUUGAAUGGCUGAGUGGAUAUGCCUUCACCUCUGGCUUGGCACUUGCCAAGGCCAGCUUUUAAGUAAGAAAGGCUGUGGGUUCGAAUCCCACACAAACCA
Sphaerobolus stellatus SS14 is the source of this 101-nucleotide non-coding RNA. NCBI's taxonomy places the organism in Eukaryota, Fungi, Basidiomycota, Agaricomycetes, Geastrales, Sphaerobolaceae. The record is from the annotation of a GenBank genome assembly.